GUGUGAAAAAUGUGAAAAAAAUAUGCAAAUACUCGUAAUCGCAUCCUCUACGCUUUGAGGAUGGGUACGUCGUCGUUUGAAUUUUUAAAACCAUACAAACCCUCAUGAAUAGUAUUUUUAAGGGAGUUCAAAAUAAAUAAAAUUCAUAAUUAUUAAUGUAUAAGUCUGAAAAAUGUGAAAACAUAUAUAAAGGCUCGUGAUUGCAUCUUCUACACUUAGGCGAUGGUUACAUGGUUGUAUCUUCUAUGCUUAGACGAUGGUUAUAUUGUCACACCCCGCCCCAAAAUAUAUUUAUUUCGGGAGUUAAUUUCAAUGAUAGGCCCAAUUUAGAAUCAUGGUUAAUUUAUUACCAUUACUUACAUUUCUUUACUUCGAACAAUUUAGUUCCGUACAAAACUAUCCAUGUUUUUCUAAAUGUCAAAACAUAUCUUUAAAGUAAUGAUUUAAUACACUAACAUUAGUCAUCAUUCUCCAUAUAUUUUCAUUCAUCCCACGUCUAAUCCAUAACCAUUAUUCAUUUACCAAAACAUACAAUUUCACUUCCAAUUUAGAACCAUUUCCCUCGCUUAGAUCAAAAUUUCCCUCUCAAUAUUAGUUCUCGAAUAUUUAAGACUACAUCCAAACUCUAUUAGACUGCCUACGUACCCUUGAGCGGGAUCAAGCCUUUUGUAGUUCACAUUUCCAAAAUUCAAACCGAAUAUAUUCAAUUAAUCCAAUAUAUACCACAAUUGUGUUAAUAUUCAAACCACAACAAAUAGAUCUCAAAAGCAUAAUUAGAAUAACGAAACUCACAUAAAAACACAAUUUCUGCUCCCUGGCCGUGCGCCACCGCACGUGCCGCCGCGGGUGACAGUCGGUCGCCCCGACUCACCAGAAAAUUUAACUAUUUCUAAAAAUUCUCAAAAAUUAUAGAAAUGAAGAUCUCAAAGAGUAAAGCAAACUUUAUACUUAUGGCCAAGUCCAAUUUGGCCGGGCCAAGUCCAAUUUGGCUGGGAAAAGCUCCAAUUUUACUAAAACCCGUUGGAACCCUAGAAAAAUGGUGUUUUCAAUUCGACUCCAAAACCGUUCCAACGCCUCAACCAAUAAUUGGGCUUUGUUCCAGUGCUCAAGAAGAGUCUAAUGGUGGAGGAAAUUGAUCGGAUUUCUUUCAGAAUUUUUCCCCAACAGUCCCACGGCACCAUCGUUGCCAUACCCCAUGAAAAGGACACCCUUGCUUCGAAUCUAUGGGUGAUUAACUAAGGAGGAGGAGCAUGAUGAUGUUUGCAGGUGAGGGAAGUCCCAAUUCACCGGGGAAAAUAGUGAAUAUUGCACCGGAAUCAACUCGAUGUGACCGGUUUUGGAAACAGAUCACGGGUUGGAGAUGGGUCAAGGGAAAAUGAGGUUUGGUUGAGUGCCUCUCCACUCCCUCCUUUCCCUCCCUGUUCUCCUUCCUGAUUCGCCCUCCUCUUCCUCAUUUUCCUCCUGCAACUCUCUUCCUUCUCCCCCCUCCUUCUCCCUUCAUUUUUUUCUUUCUUUUUAUUCUUUUAUUUUUAUUUUUUCCUUCCCUCUUUUCCACGACAAGCUCCCAAAAUUAUGGAGCUUUCUAGAUUCAUAGUAAAAUGACCACUUUGCCCCUAUGCUCGUCCGUUUCUAUUUUAUUCGUUAUAAUUCCGCUUGACGAAUGGUUUUCGCCUACACACUCAUAGAAUCAAAUUCUAUCAAAUUAUGCUAAGAAAUACGACAAGAUAUAUUAGAAUACAUCCUCGUAUAUCUACAUUAUACCACUAGGGCAUUUUUUUUCCUUUUCCCACGUAUCGAUAAAAUUUACAACGUAAAUUAUAAUAAUUUCAAGAAAUAAAAACUUUAAAAUUCCCAAUUCUAUUUUCAUAACCAUAAAUCGAUUUAUUUUCGAUUUUCUCCACAUAUUCAUAAUUAUAUUAUCUAAUUCAUAUCUUUAAAUUUUUCAAGGUAUUACAUAUAUGGUCGUUUAAAUUUUUAAAACCAUCCAAAUCUCAUGAAUAGUGUUUUUAUUUUAGUGAAAAAUUAAUAAUAAUUAUUGUAGAAGUGUGAAAAUGUAAAAAAAAAAAAUAUACAAUCACUCAUAAUGACAAGUUUUAUAACUUGUGGGAAGGGGUCAACUCCGAAAUCUGACACCAUAAUUCAUAAACCUUAGAUUUAAAUUGAACCGUCCAUUGUUAUUUAGACUUUAUUCUACUCACCAAAUUUCAUUUUUUAGAUUUUCUUUUUUGAAAAGUGGUCUUUUAGUGGAUUAGAAAAAUGAACGGUUCGGAUCGUUAAUACGACAUUCCGAUAUUUACGGUUAACUAAAAAUAUGAGUUGAUGUUAUAUAGUUUCUAGAGACUUUAUAAACUUUGAGCUAUAUUUUCACUAAUGGUAACGCUCUAAACGUAAUAUCGACGAUCUGAACUGUUCAUCUUCCUGCAUUCUCUAAGAGAUCAUGUUUUCAAAAAAGAAAAUCCGAAAAGAAAAAAAAAAUUGGUGAGAAGAAUGGAACGUAAAUAUAAACGACAAUCAACGGUUAAAUUUAGAUCUAUAGUUUAUGGAUUAUGGAAAAUCUUAGUGAAUACAUCAUCAACAUAACGCUUGAAAACAAUAUAUCAAACCAAAGUUCCAAUACCAUUUCCCUUGGUGAUUGAUGAAAAUUGAAGGGUUUUAUUGUCAAAAACAUGCAAGGUUCCUCAACCUUGAAACGCAACUCUCUUCAUUUUGCAUAUCUUUGAACAUUUGUAUUUUAUAGCAUGCACUAAUGUUUUUUCAUUAGACUCUUAUUUUGGAGUAUGUAAACUUGAAAGACAAAUGUUUUUUUUUUUAAUUAUGUUUUGAAGUAAUAUUUAUGUAACAAUGUGGUAUGUAUAUACUAAUUUAGUAUUAUGUUUUACAUAUUUUUGGAUCAAAUUAUGUUUUUCAUUUUCAUUAUUUAUUGAUUUAAAUAUAUUUUUCUUAAUGGGUAACAAGUUGAGUCAUAUUACCUAAUAAUAUUAACAGGUCGGGUCAUAUUACCCGUUUAUUUUAACGAGGGUUACACGACAUGACUUGUUAAACUAUCGGGUAUGACACGAACAUGAAACAUAUGACACGAAUGCCAGGCAAUUUAUAAGAGUGGAAUAUGUAAAAUUGGUGGGACCACCAAAAUAUGGAGAAUGCUUUCAUGUGAACAGUCAAAUGAUACAUCUGUUCCGAUUGUUUAACGCAUCUCUAAGAGAAUAUGCAAAUCAAGUUGGCAAAAUUGUAUUACAUGAAAUGUAGCAUGUUACUUCUUUGGGGGAGUGAUAUAAUUUGCUAACUCCUUUGCUUAUUCCCUUUGUGCAAGUUUUUGCCUAUCUGGCUGGGAAAACCAUGUUUGCCUACCCUUUUGCAUGCUCUCUUCAUAUGCUUUUUAUACAAUAUAUUCUUCAUCCGUUGAAUACCUCUCACAAAGAUAUGAAGUGAGACUUACCUUCACGCUUAUGUAUGCUACUACCGCAUCCAUAGAAAUUAAAAUCCAAUUAAACUACAUUAUUGGUUUGAAAUGUUACAUUGGCGCACAAAAGUUGGAAGUAGGUGCUAAAAAAGCAUGAGACUUUUGUAUUUUGGUCUUAUCCGAUGCCAUACUAACCAUGCAUAGUGUAAAAAAUUAACUCAAAUUUGAAAGCCCUACAAAAAAAACUUCCUCAUAUAUUGGGUCUCAAUAAGAAAAUCCAAUCUAAAUCCAAUCGUUUGUUUAAAAUAAAAAUAAAACAACAUGAUUUUUUUUAUUAGAGUAAACUUGAUAUAAGUUCUUAUUAAGUUUAGUUCACUUUGUUACGUUAGUUCAUUCACUGAUUACUAACAUCACCUUCUUUUUAUUAUCUUUUUUUUAUUAAAAUGAACUACUAUUAGCACUCUAAAAAUCUCAUUAAUGUAUUUUCUUUUCUAAUUAUAGAAAGUUUGGAAUGCAAAUGAGAUUUUUGGAAAGCCAAUAACAAUUCCCUAAUUAAAUUGUGAUACAUGUUAUCUCUUCUCCUCUUAUUUAUAGGAUUAUCUUUUACUUAAUUUUAGAAUUAAAUAUUGUAUCUCAUUCUUCCUACUCCAGACCUGUAUCUCAAUUCUUUCUUUUACCUUCAUCACAAGUUAAUUGUGUUAACUAUUUCUCAACUUUUUUCUUCUACUUCCAUCACAAGUUAAUUACGAUAAUACGAUAUCAACAUAUAUAUUAGUAUGGAUUUAUAAUUGUAUGAAGAUUAAAUUUUUGUAAACUAUUUUCAUGAAUGAUAGGUAGAUUAAGUUUUAUUCAAUUUCGUCUAUUCUACCUCCAUUAUAGGUUGAACGUAUUUAAUCAACAUAUGAUGUAAGCAUCAUAUAUGUUGAUAUGCGAAUUUUCUUUUAACCAUUUUUCAGUAAACUGGUUAGAUCUUCAUAUUUAAAUAUUUCAAAUUAAACAUAUGAGUAAAAGGGCCUAAAUUAAGAAAUUUAAUUAAAUUAAAAAAAUAUGACACUAGAUUAAAUCUAAUAAAACUAAAAAUUUUAAACUUAGAUCAAACUAUUUUUUUAUUAGUAUUAUUUUGUAUUUUUCCUUUAUUGGUGAAAUAAGAAAGGGAUUUUUUAACUUGAAUCCUUUAAGAAUAUUGAAAUUUAAAAUAAACUUGGUGUUAGAUUACAUAUUGAUUACAAUCCCUUAAUGUGUCUUUAAUUCAAAAUAAUUAUUGUGCAUUUUAUUUAGGGAAUUGUUAUUAGCACUCCAAAAAUCUCAUUCUACACUCCUCACAAGUGUAUUUUUCUUUCCAAUUAUAGAAAGUUUGGAGUGCAAAAUGAGAUUUGUGGAGUGCCAAUAACAGUUCCCUUUAUUUAAUGUCUCCCAUUAAAUAUUUAAAUUUAUUAAUAUACAAAUAUUAAUUUA
This 4855-nucleotide long non-coding RNA is filed under the name Malus domestica (apple). Its description in RNAcentral is "long non-coding RNA (MDOM_LNC002450)". Lineage: Eukaryota; Viridiplantae; Streptophyta; Magnoliopsida; Rosales; Rosaceae. The record is from RNAcentral.